GACGAACGCUGGCGGCGUGCUUAACACAUGCAAGUCGAACGGAAAGGCCCUGCUUUUGUGGGGUGCUCGAGUGGCGAACGGGUGAGUAACACGUGAGUAACCUUCCCUUGACUUUGGGAUAACUUCAGGAAACUGGGGCUAAUACCGGAUAGGAGCUCCUGCUGCAUGGUGGGGGUUGGAAAGUUUCGGCGGUUGGGGAUGGACUCGCGGCUUAUCAGCUUGUUGGUGGGGUAGUGGCUUACCAAGGCUUUGACGGGUAGCCGGCCUGAGAGGGUGACCGGCAACAUUGGGACUGGGCUACGGCCCAGACUCCUACGGGAGGCAGCAGUGGGGAAUAUUGCACAAUGGGCGGAAGCCUGAUGCAGCAACGCCGCGUGCGGGAUGACGGCCUUCGGGUUGUAAACCGCUUUCGCCUGUGACGAAGCGUGAGUGACGGUAAUGGGUAAAGAAGCACCGGCUAACUACGUG
Molecule: ribosomal RNA, 468 nt
Filed under: uncultured bacterium
Lineage: Bacteria
Description: partial 16S ribosomal RNA
Rfam family: Bacterial small subunit ribosomal RNA
Source: RNAcentral